CCUACGGUGGCAGCAGUGGGGGAUAUUGCACAAUGGGGGGAACCCUGAUGCAGCGACGCCGCGUGGGUGAAGAAGCGCCUCGGCGCGUAAAGCCCUGUCAGCAGGGAAGAAAAUGACGGUAACUGAAGAAGAAGCCCCGGCUAACUACGUGCCAGCAGCCGCGGUAAUACGUAGGGGGCAAGCGUUAUCCGGAUUUACUGGGUGUAAAGCGGGCGCAGACGGGGUUGCAAGCCAGUAGUGAAAGCCCGGGGCCCAACCCCAGGACUGCUCUUGGAACUGAGUGGCUGGAGUACAGGAGGGGCAGGCGGAAUGCCUGGUGUAGCGGUGAAAUGCGUAGAUAUCAGGAGGAACACCGAUGGCGAAGGCAGCCUACUAAACUGCAACUGACAUUGAGGCCCGAAAGCGUGGGGAGCAAACAGGAUUAGAUACCCCAGUAGUC
RNAcentral lists this ribosomal RNA (439 nucleotides) under uncultured bacterium. RNAcentral's name for it is "partial 16S ribosomal RNA". It matches the Rfam family "Bacterial small subunit ribosomal RNA", at positions 338 to 795 of the family's 1533-position model. The record is from RNAcentral.